Molecule: ribosomal RNA, 198 nt
Filed under: uncultured bacterium
Lineage: Bacteria
Description: partial 16S ribosomal RNA
Rfam family: Bacterial small subunit ribosomal RNA
Source: RNAcentral
ACGCUCGACACCUACUGGAGGCAGCAGUGGGGAAUAUUGCACAAUGGGGGAAACCCUGAUGCAGCGACGCCGCGUGAGCGAAGAAGUAUUUCGGUAUGUAAAGCUCUAUCAGCAGGGAAGAAACUGACGGUACCUGACUAAGAAGCACCGGCUAAAUACGUGCCGGCAGCCGCGGUAAUCUGAGCGGGCUGGCAAGGC